Molecule: long non-coding RNA, 827 nt
Organism: Homo sapiens (human)
Lineage: Eukaryota; Metazoa; Chordata; Mammalia; Primates; Hominidae
Gene: NCK1-DT
Product: NCK1 divergent transcript
Source: Ensembl
CGGAGGCUGCGCGGCGGAGAGUAGAGAGCUAGAGGGUGAGAAGCGCUGGGCCGGACCAGAACUGUCUUAGCUUUUCCCUCUGCGGCUGCUCUGGUUGGUUACUUUGAGCCUGCCUCCUCAGCGCCGCAGGAGAGACUUAACAGCAAAAAUGACUGUGUCCUGAGUUCAGCCCCCACUGCUCUGGGAGCUUCCCCCUGGUUUCUGCACCUGAAGAAUGUCAUCCCAGCCGAAGGUUCUUAGGAGCGGGGAGCGACAAAGAAAAACAAAGAAAAGCAGACCUGAAAAUUGGGACCUGGGAGAAAUGGGAACUCAAACCAAAAACAGGAAUCAUCCUUGCUAAUUAGUGCUGAGUGGAUCAGGGACUAACCAGAAUCAGGCAACAAGAAAAUAGACGAGUGCUCUAAACCAGUAUCAUGGCUCCAGUUCCUCUGACAAGGAUUCACAUGGGGUUGCAAUUCUGACUGUGCUGGUGAUGCUGGUUCCAGGUCCCUCAGGAACCCCUCCCCCAGUCUGGUCUGCCCUUGAACUCUAUACUGGCCCCAGGGUAUCCCAGGAUUGUCAGAAAGGCCUGGCCAGGAUUCACCUGGGAGAGGGAUCAGCAUCUCUGCAAAGUUGUUGGAUUGAAAGAACUUUCAUUUUGAGCUACAUCAUUGAAGAGCUUUAAAUCUGAAAAUAAGAAAGACGUUGAACCCUAUUACUCACAUCUCUUUGUCAUUUGAAGCAGAUCCCGAACCACUCAAAAGGACAAAACAAGGAAAUAGCAAUGAAAUUGGAUUCAGUGAAUGGGGUAAGGGUAUUAAGUGUCUGAAAUAUAAGAGAUAAAAAAA